This is an RNA transcript of Amblyraja radiata (thorny skate), 5822 nucleotides long. It is a transcript of the gene named sarcoplasmic/endoplasmic reticulum calcium ATPase 2, with no coding region annotated. Lineage: Eukaryota; Metazoa; Chordata; Chondrichthyes; Rajiformes; Rajidae. The transcript has 21 exons. The record is from RefSeq and is a predicted model, not a curated record.
GACACUCACUCACUCACUCUCUCUGCCGCCGCAGCCCAGCCACUGCGGCUCCUCUAUCUCGCUCUCUCUCUCGGCAUAACCUGCCACACCAGGAACCCCCCCUCCCCCUCCUCUAUCCAUCCAUCCCACCCGCAUCACAUCACAGAAAGAAGACCAGAACGCUGAUCACCCGAUACAUUGUAUCGCUCAGAGGCAACGCAUCAAAAAAGAGAUACAUUCUCAGUGUAACAAAAAAAAAGAAACGUUUUUGUUUUGCUACACGAGAUUGAAUUCCACCCCCCCCCCCUCCUCCUCGCUUCUCCCGCUUCACAGUGUGUGCCGGCUUGUUUCUCGUGUGAGGGAAGAUCUUUUAUUUCCACCUCACUUGUCCUUCCUCUACCUUCCUCCUUCCUCUCCCCCCUCCACCCCCCUCCACUCCACCACCUCCUCCUCCUCCUUCCCCUCUCCGGAGCAGUUGAAGGAAGGAAACCUGGAGUGGCACCAUGGAGAAUGCUCACACGAAGACCGUGGAUGAAGUUUUAGCCCAUUUUAACGUCAACGAGACGACGGGUCUGAGCCUGGAGCAAGUGAAGAAACACAAGGAGAGAUGGGGACCUAAUGAACUACCGGCGGAAGAAGGCAAAUCGUUAUGGGAGCUGGUGAUGGAACAAUUUGAAGAUUUGUUGGUCAGAAUUCUACUCUUGGCAGCUUGCAUAUCAUUUGUUCUGGCCUGGUUUGAAGAAGGUGAAGAAACUGUGACUGCCUUUGUGGAGCCCUUUGUAAUAUUAUUAAUUCUAAUAGCAAACGCUAUUGUUGGUGUUUGGCAGGAAAGAAAUGCAGAAAAUGCGAUUGAAGCCCUUAAAGAAUAUGAACCGGAAAUGGGAAAGGUUUAUCGACAAGACAGAAAGAGUGUACAACGGAUUAAGGCCAGAGAUCUUGUCCCUGGAGAUAUUGUGGAAGUUGCAGUUGGCGACAAGGUCCCUGCUGACAUCAGACUGACUGCAAUCAAGUCAACAACCUUAAGAGUAGAUCAAUCUAUUCUAACAGGUGAAUCUGUGUCGAUCAUCAAACACACCGACCCCGUUCCUGACCCUCGUGCAGUGAAUCAGGAUAAAAAGAACAUGCUCUUUUCAGGUACAAAUAUCGCAGCUGGUAGGGCAAUUGGGGUUGCUGUUGCUACUGGUACGAGCACAGAAAUUGGCAAAAUCCGCGAUGAGAUGGCAGCAACUGAACAGGAGAGGACUCCUCUGCAGCAGAAACUCGAUGAGUUUGGUGAACAACUCUCCAAGGUUAUUUCGCUGAUCUGCAUUGCGGUUUGGAUCAUAAACAUUGGCCACUUCAACGACCCCGUCCACGGUGGCUCCUGGAUUCGCGGCGCCAUCUACUAUUUCAAAAUUGCGGUGGCUUUGGCAGUGGCUGCAAUACCCGAAGGUUUGCCGGCUGUUAUAACUACCUGCCUGGCCCUUGGCACAAGGCGCAUGGCAAAGAAGAAUGCGAUUGUGCGGAGUCUGCCGUCCGUUGAGACACUGGGCUGCACUUCGGUUAUCUGCUCUGACAAAACCGGCACUCUCACAACUAACCAGAUGUCCGUCUGCCGGAUGUUCAUUGUCGACAAAGCUGAAAACGACAAGUGUUCCCUGAAGGAAUUUACUGUCAGUGGCUCCACAUACAGCCCCGAGGGAAUAGUGGAAUUGGAUAACAAAGUGAUCAAGUGUUCUGAAUACGAUGGCCUGAUUGAGUUAGCAACCAUAUGUUCACUUUGCAAUGACUCUUCUUUGGAUUUUAAUGAGACCAAAGGAAUCUAUGAGAAAGUCGGGGAAGCUACGGAGACCGCACUGUGUUGCCUGGCGGAGAAAAUGAAUGUGUUUGACACAGACUUAAAGAGUCUAACCAAGAUCGAACGUGCCAAUGCUUGCUGCUCGGUCAUCAGGCAACUGAUGAAGAAAGAGUUCACUCUGGAAUUUUCAAGAGAUCGGAAGUCCAUGUCAGCGUACUGUACUCCUAACAAGCCCACUCGAUCGUCCGCGGGCAACAAGAUGUUUGUGAAGGGUGCACCCGAGAGUGUGAUUGACAGAUGUACUUAUAUUCGUGUUGGAACUACGAAGGUUCCCCUCACUAAGGGCAUCAAGGAGAAGAUUCUGGGUGUUGUGAAAGACUGGGGAUCUGGCAGGGACACCCUGCGAUGUCUGGCUCUGGCCACACGAGAUAAUCCGAUCAGGAGGGAAGAUAUGAAUUUGGAAGAAUCAUCAAAUUUCCUUAAAUAUGAGGUGGACCUCACGUUUGUAGGUUGUGUUGGUAUGCUUGACCCACCAAGAACAGAGGUGGCUGCUUCUAUCAAGAUGUGCAAGCACGCCGGCAUCCGUGUCAUCAUGAUCACCGGGGAUAACAAAGGCACUGCUGUAGCCAUUUGCAGGCGCAUUGGUAUCUUUGGAGAAAGGGAAGAUGUGGACAAAAAGGCUUUUACUGGCCGUGAGUUUGAUGAACUUUCCCUGGCGGAUCAGAGAGAAGCUUGCUUAACUGGUCGCUGUUUUGCUCGAGUAGAACCUUCCCACAAGUCCAAGAUUGUGGAGUUUUUGCAAGGAUUUGAUGAAAUCACUGCUAUGACUGGUGAUGGUGUGAAUGACGCACCGGCCUUAAAGAAGGCAGAGAUUGGAAUUGCCAUGGGAUCUGGUACAGCCGUAGCAAAAUCUGCCUCUGAGAUGGUACUGGCAGAUGACAACUUCUCAACUAUCGUAGCGGCAGUGGAGGAAGGCCGCGCUAUCUACAACAACAUGAAACAAUUCAUUCGCUACCUCAUCUCUUCCAAUGUUGGGGAAGUAGUUUGCAUUUUCCUAACAGCAGCUGUUGGCUUUCCUGAGGCUUUGAUCCCUGUACAACUUCUGUGGGUGAAUCUGGUGACUGAUGGACUGCCUGCCACCGCUCUAGGUUUCAAUCCACCUGAUCUGGACAUCAUGGACAAGCCACCACGCAGCCCCAAGGAGCCGCUGAUUAGUGGCUGGCUCUUCUUUCGCUACAUGGCGAUUGGAUGUUAUGUGGGAGCUGCCACAGUUGGAGCUGCUGCCUGGUGGUUUAUAGCUGCUGAGGAUGGACCUAGGAUUACUUACUACCAGCUGAGCCAUUUUUUGCAAUGCAGUGCAGAUAAUCCGGAAUAUGAUGGCAUUGAUUGUACAAUAUUUGAAUCCCCUUAUCCCAUGACAAUGGCACUCUCUGUCUUGGUGACCAUUGAGAUGUGUAAUGCUCUUAACAGUUUAUCGGAGAAUCAGUCACUCCUGAAGAUGCCUCCUUGGGAGAAUGUUUGGUUAUUGGGUUCAAUUUGCCUGUCAAUGUCACUUCAUUUCCUCAUCUUAUAUGUGGAGCCACUACCGCUCAUCUUCCAAAUCACACCAUUAGAUGUAACGCAGUGGCUGAUGGUGCUGAAAAUCUCUCUACCUGUCAUUCUGCUGGAUGAGACACUCAAAUUUAUUGCUCGUAACUACCUUGAACCGGGUAAAGAGUAUACUCUGCAUAGUGGCAAACAGUGUGGUUUCUCAGCAUACACAGAGGGGAUAUCCUGGCCAUUUGUGAUCAUUUCUCUGCCUCUGGGUAUCUGGCUAUACAGCACAGACACUAAUUUUGCUGAAAUGUUCUGGUCUUGACUGAACUAGAUCUGUCGUGGAAUAGUCUCAAGGAAAAGACAUGGCAUUUGAUUAAUAUUACCAAAAUUUUUAUCAUUUAAACACCUGAUUCCAAGAGUCUGUUUCUGCUGAAUUUCAUAUGACCCAUGUAUGGAUGAAGUUAAUAUUUUUUCCUGAGCUCAAAUGAAACGGGAUUGAUUUUUACACAAUUUAAGAAAAACAUUUAAAAAAAAUUAAGCUGUGCAUUGCGUGUGUACAGAGAUUAAUACUAUUUUCUGUAGUAUUUUGUUUUUGUAGAUGAAACGGCAUGUACAAAUGUGUUCUGUUUACUAAUUUGUUCAUCUUUUGUGUAUAAAUUAAGAACCAGUAAGCUACGGAUGUAUUUUUUUUGGCUGCGGAUAUGGAACAAUUACUUGAGAAUGUUAAAUUCUUUGGAAAAAUUUUAAAAAUAAUUCCAUAGGUUGUCACCUCAUGGCUAUUUUCGUUGGGUUCUGUUUUAGUCUUUGUGCCUUCUGUCAUUUGAUUUUUUAUUUUUAUUUACUCCAAACUUCUUAAUUUCUGCCCUCAGCAGACUACUGCUACCUCAGCCUGCUAUUUGUUUUAUUUCUCAUAAUCAUUCCUGUAUUCCCGGCUCUGUCAUGUUUACAGUCCAAACGUGCUUGAGGUAUGCUCAUUUCUCCCUGUGCAGAACACACUAUUUCACCACCCCUUGCCCACCCCACCCCACCCCUCCCCUCCCACCACUCCCUCACCCAGCCUCUUAUUGCUUUAUUUUUUUUCUCUCUCUCCCAGUAAGUCUAAGGAGUAUUUAUUUAAAGCACUAAUUGUAUAUUGUAAUGGUCUUAGCAGAUUUCUUUACGUUUUUUUUUGCCACUUCAACUUGGAUGUCGAGGGUUAAUGCACAUGUCGAGAGAAAAAUAAAAUGUGUUGGACUGAGAGAGGAAUUUCUCAAUGUCUCUUUUACUAGGCUGGUUCAUUUAGUUCCUUCAAAUGCAAAACAAUAGCCCUGAAUCUUAGGCCUUAUUUGUUAGACUCUUAAUUUUCACAUAAAUUUGAACAAGGUUUGAAGAAAUAUUUUACUCGUGCUCAUUUGAAAACUCUUAAGUAGCCGAAAGCUGAUUAUGUUUAGACACUGAAGCAGAACACAAAUAUGCCACAGCGAUAUUUUAAACCUAGAACAUGUAAACGCAAGCUGUUAGUAGCACACAGCCAAAUACUCAUUUGACAUAAUGUAUAGAACUAAAAGUAAAUUUUAACAUACUAUCAUCAUACUAACUUAUUACAGCUGUAAUAAUCUAAAUGUUGGAUAAUAGUGUUCAAAAGCAUGUUUUCUAAAGUGAAAUUUAAGUGAGGUGGUUUUUACAUGUGUUAACAAGCCUAACAAACAGUGUUUUCUUCACUGCCUUCCAAAACCCAUCAAUUAAACUAUGGAAGAUGAAGAGGAGAAGUAAUUCCGUUAUAUAAAAAUUUUCAGAAAACUAAGGUUCUUUUGUUAUUGCGUGCAUGUGUGUUUUUAAGCACAACUACCAAGACCAUUGCAUGUAUAAUGUGCAACAAUAGUAUGCUAUUUGGAGGAAAAGUGUGUUUAAAAUAUAGGACUUCAGAGAAACCUACUCUGAAUUUGUGCAAUACAUCCUCAUGAACUUUACAGUACUCCCAGAGAAGAUAUGUUCUUUGCUAAGACGAUGACUCACAAUCGCGGAGGACCCUCGAUCUAUGUGUAAAAUUUUAUUGAAUUUAUAAAUUGUACAUUAUGGAAAUGCACUCCUUCUGUUAGGUAACAGAGUCUGUGUAUUAGGUCAUCGGGACAAAGAACUACUUUAUAAAAAUGGCUAUGUACAAAUGCAAAUAUAUUUAUGAAAAACUUAGAGAAAAGAUACAAAUCAUGAAUGUUUGAACUGUAAAUGACAUCCUGUAGGUUAACAAUUUCAUAACUUCAAUGUAUUUUUUUCUAAGGAAAGUUUUUUUCUUCUCUUCGAUGUGAGGCAAAGUGAGAGAAUUCCCUCUUGCACUGUAAUUUAACAAUUUUAAGUUGUAUUGCAUUAACAGAACUGUUAGUGCAUUAGGAAUAUUGUGAUGCAGAUAUAACAAGAACCUUUCAGUUGCCAGAACACAGCAUGUUUAAUGUUGAAAACUGUAAAUAAGAUCUUAUGUUUAUUUCAGUGCUGACAUUGUAACAUGCUACACACACAUUUCGUAAAUUCAGGUAAAUAAAGUUACUCUACAUGA